GAGACCGGUCGAGUCGCGUUAACAGCGUAACCCUGGGCAGCCGGGAAAGAAACAAUCUCCAGGAUUGUGACAAAAGGACUUUGUGGAAUGGCUCCUGUCGCUUGCUUCCAUUUGCGUAAAAAGUGGGAAAGCACAGACCAGCCUGUGGGAAAACCAUCUCUGGAAGGAGCCAAGGUACCUGGGAAGACUGGUGCUGAGGGCAGAAGCCGGGUGCCUGGGGGACUGGGCAGGAGGGGGACUUUCUCCGUGUGCUCUUUUGAACUCUGGGAGUUAAAAGCACAUGCCUUUAAAAGGACAAACCGUAACAUUCCUGAAGGAUGUGAGCCUGCGGUUGCCGGUGCCCCCCAUCUGGAAAUGAAGCCAAGUCGGAGUCCCGCAAAGCUAGAAACAGAGACAGCAGAUCCCCCGAUGAUGUCACGGGAGUGCCUGGUUCCUGGUAUUUCCAGCUCCUGGUGUCAGCACAGUGCCUGGCAUCGGAGAAUGAAGGAGCCCUCGUUUCACGGAUGAGGAACACGGGGCCCCGGGAGAAAGCCAUUUGCCUCACGCAAAUAUGGAGAGCUGGGGCUAGAUAGGUCCCAAGUUUCCUGGCUGUCAGGCCAAAUCAGUCGCUCGAUUCAACAAGUCUUCAUUGAUUAUCUCCCACCUGCCAGGCUCCGGACAUGGCAUGUGAGACCGAAGGAAAUAAGGAUGAUGUGGCCCCUUGCCAACCACACAUACAGUCUGGACCCCCCUUCCCCCCAACAGAGGAACUUAUUAACUCCAGUGAGCCUCUGAGGAAUUGAGGGUUGCAGAGUCCGGAUGUGCGACCAGGAGGCCUCCCAGGCUCCCAGUCCCAGAAGACUGGGAUCUGCCUGCGUCUCGUCUUCCCCACACCAGGCUCUGGCGUAUGGCCUCCCCACCACCCAAGCCCACGCUGCUCUGUUUCCCAGAGGCAGGAGGCCCGGGCCUGUCCUGCUGCGGUUACAGGAGCCAGCUCCCUGGCCACACUGGUCACAGAUGAUCGGAGCUUCAUCAGCUCAAACAGGGCUGUCCUCACAGGAACGGUGGGCACACAGGCCCUGCCCGAACCCAUUCUCCCCAAACAGGAGCCUAGGCGUUCACCGUUAGCGGUCCAUUUGCCUGCUGUGCUGUGUGUUUGUCUUUUAAAACACUCCUCACUGAAACUGUAGUUCACCAUCAUUCAUUCAUUCUUCAUCGGCCUGCCUUGUUUCAGGCACUGUGCUUGGGACUCAUUCAGGGAGAAUAGAUUAAAAAGGUACCGCUUUGUGUAUAUAUAUUGUUUUAUACACACACACACAAACUUUUUAAAACAGGUAUCAUUCUGGAGGGGGGGGGGGGGGGAGUUGAUUCAUUAAUUUAAAAAGACUCCAUCGAGGCAUUUCUCUGAGCCUAGUUUUCCCCUAAUGUAAAAUCAAGACAAUACCAACCUCAUAGGGUUGUCGUGAGAGUCAGUUCAUCAUGGCAAGUAUAUAGAACAGCAUUCCUAAGAGCACUGUUAUAAUAG
Herpailurus yagouaroundi (jaguarundi) is the source of this 1504-nucleotide long non-coding RNA. RefSeq lists it as uncharacterized. The record is from RefSeq and is a predicted model, not a curated record. Lineage: Eukaryota; Metazoa; Chordata; Mammalia; Carnivora; Felidae. The transcript is spliced from 2 exons.